UCAUUUUUCUUUGCAUCAACCUCGUUUUCUCCAUAAAGAAAAAAGUUAGGUCUUGGUUCAAAAUCUUUAGCCGUCCCCUUGUUUUCCUUUGUAUCAACCCCUUUUUCUCCAUAAAGAAAAAAGUUAGGUCUUGAUUCAAAAUCUUUAAUGGACCCCUUGUUUUCCUUUGUAUCAACCCUUUUUCCUCCAUAUAGAAAAAAGUUAGGUCUUGGUUCAAAAUCUUUAGUGGCCUCCUUAUUUUCCUCUGCAUCAACCCCAUUUUCCGCAUACAGAAAAAAGUUUGGUCUUGGUUCAAAAUCUUUAAUGAACCCCUUAUUUUCCUUUGCAUCUACCCCAUUUUUUCCAUAAAGAAAAAAGUUAGGUCUUGGAUUAAAAUCUUUAGUGGCCCCCUUGUUUUCCUUUGCAUUAACACCAUUUUCUCCAUAAAGAAAAAAAUUAGGUCUUGGUUCAAAAUCAUUAGUGGCCCCCUUGUUUUUCUCUGUAUCGACCCUUUUUUCCCCAUACAGAAAAAAACUAGGUCUUGGUUCAAAAUCUUUAUUGACCCCCCUGUUUUCCUUUGUAUUAACCUCUUUUUUUCCAUAUAGAAAAAAGUUAGGCCUUGAUUCAAAAUCUUUAGUCGCCUCUUUGUUUUCCUCUCCAUCAACCCCAUUUUCCCCAUAAAGAAAAAAGUUAGGUCUUGGUUCGAAAUCUUUACCGGACCUCUUGUUUUCCUUUGCAUCUACCCCAUUUUCCCCAUAAAGAAAGAAGUUAGGUCUUGGUUCGAAAUCUUUACCGGACCUCUUGUUUUCCUUUGCAUCUACCCCAUUUUCUCCAUAAAGAAAAAAGUUAGGUCUUGGUUUAAAAUCUUUAUUGGCCACCUUGUUUUCCUUUGCAUCAAUCGCAUUGUCUCCGUAAAGAAAAAAGUUAGGUCUUGGUUCAAAAUCUUUAUUGGCUCCCUUGUUUGCCUUUGCAUCAAUCUCAUUGUCUCCAUAAAGAAGAUCAUUAG
This 985-nucleotide long non-coding RNA is filed under the name Medicago truncatula (barrel medic). Its description in RNAcentral is "long non-coding RNA (MTRU_LNC001221)". Lineage: Eukaryota; Viridiplantae; Streptophyta; Magnoliopsida; Fabales; Fabaceae. The record is from RNAcentral.